Molecule: ribosomal RNA, 491 nt
Filed under: uncultured bacterium
Lineage: Bacteria
Description: partial 16S ribosomal RNA
Rfam family: Bacterial small subunit ribosomal RNA
Source: RNAcentral
GAUGAACGCUAGCUACAGGCUUAACACAUGCAAGUCGAGGGGAAACGCCAUCGAAAGCUUGCUUUUGAUGGGCGUCGACCGGCGCACGGGUGAGUAACGCGUAUCCAACCUGCCCAUCACUUGGGAAUAACCUUGCGAAAGUAAGACUAAUACCCAAUGACAUCCCACGAAGACAUCUGAAUGGGAUUAAAGAUUUAUCGGUGAUGGAUGGGGAUGCGUCUGAUUAGCUUGUUGGCGGGGUAACGGCCCACCAAGGCAACGAUCAGUAGGGUUCUGAGAGGAAGGUCCCCCACAUUGGAACUGAGACACGGUCCAAACUCCUACGGGAGGCAGCAGUGAGGAAUAUUGGUCAAUGGGCGAGAGCCUGAACCAGCCAAGUAGCGUGCAGGAUGACGGCCCUAUGGGUUGUAAACUGCUUUUAUAAGGGAAUAAAGUGGGUCUCGUGAGACUUUUUGCAUGUACCUUAUGAAUAAGGACCGGCUAAUUCCGUG